Small nucleolar RNA from Protopterus annectens (West African lungfish), 130 nucleotides. The record is from RefSeq and is a predicted model, not a curated record. NCBI's taxonomy places the organism in Eukaryota, Metazoa, Chordata, Ceratodontiformes, Protopteridae.
GCCCUCCUUAAAAGCACUUGCCCUGCCUUUUCAGUGACUGGGUGAGGUGUCAUGGAAGGGGAGAGAAAUGCAUCACUCUUGGGUGAGGUGGCAGCAUGUGCUGUUAACCUCAGUCCGUGGUGCAACAGUA